CACAUCGACGGGCGGAUGGGCGGGGUUCCACUAGCACUUGCUUCCCCUGUUGUCGGGUGCACUUGCGUUGUGUGAUGUUAGCGUAACAGGACCGACACUCGACGGCUUCACAUAACGCAACAGCCAAUGACUGGAGCUCUUGCAUGCAAAUGACUUACUUUACUGUCAAAAGCAUGAGUGAUGGAGCAAAGUUAGCCAAUGAAGCAGCAGUCGAUACAGAUUGCGUUGCUCGACGUACGGCGUUGCGCGUUGAUCAUUCGCCAACAAGGGACAAAAGCCAAGUUUGAGAUUUGGCGAAAGAUGUGAACGUCUUGAGUUGUCGGCGAGAGCCUUAU
RNAcentral lists this long non-coding RNA (335 nucleotides) under Volvox carteri. RNAcentral's name for it is "long non-coding RNA (VCAR_LNC000954)". Lineage: Eukaryota; Viridiplantae; Chlorophyta; Chlorophyceae; Chlamydomonadales; Volvocaceae. The record is from RNAcentral.